AAAAUUAUGGAGUUCAUUUUCAUUUAUUAUGUAAUUAAUUAAUUUAUUUGUUAUCGUCCCAGGCCCGAAAAAUUACUUACCGAAAAAUCUCGUCACGUUUUAAUCUUGCGAGAUCUUGUGACACGAGCAUUUGUGGCACCCAUACUUACCCACACUUAGACCUACCCUUCAGGAACUAAUAAAAUGUUUGCCAGGUCAUUGGGGACUCUUUUGCCUGACGCACCAUAGGAAGAGCACAAGGGAAGGAAAACAAGUUGUCUAUGUCCGAGGAAGGAGCAAAUAGGGAUGUUGGCUGUAGGGGACUACGGAAACAUGGAGACUCAUGUGACAUAUUGAGCGCCUACAGCGAGAUUCUUCCCCAUGAGCGGCAUUCCAGAGCAGGCUGUCCCACGGGAGCACCGGGAGUGGGGCCCGGCCAGUGGUG
Long non-coding RNA from Dunckerocampus dactyliophorus (ringed pipefish), 424 nucleotides. RefSeq lists it as uncharacterized. NCBI's taxonomy places the organism in Eukaryota, Metazoa, Chordata, Actinopteri, Syngnathiformes, Syngnathidae. The record is from RefSeq and is a predicted model, not a curated record. The transcript has 3 exons.